Molecule: ribosomal RNA, 253 nt
Filed under: uncultured bacterium
Lineage: Bacteria
Description: partial 16S ribosomal RNA
Rfam family: Bacterial small subunit ribosomal RNA
Source: RNAcentral
UACGGGGGGGGUAAGCGUUGUUCGGAAUUACUGGGCGUAAAGGGCUCGUAGGCGGCCAACUAAGUCAUACGUGAAAUCCCUCAGCUUAACUGGGGAACUGCGUCUGAUACUGGAUGGCUUGGAUUUGGGAGAGGGAUGCGGAAUUCCAGGUGUAGCGGUGAAAUGCGUAGAUAUCUGGAGGAACACCGGUGGCGAAGGCGGCAUCCUGGACCAAUAUUGACGCUGAGGAGCGAAAGCCAGGGGAGCAAACAGG